UCUUGUUGAAAAAUGCAUUAAGUGGGAGAACAUUUGAGAUGAAAGAGGCAGGGAGCUCAUCAGCAGUGAGGCCUUGCAAGUGGCCACUCCCAGGAGUUUGGAUGUUUCACAAACAAGGAAUGGUUGUGGCCCCUCAGGGCUCUGGGACCCAGCAUAAAAGGCUGCUCUGCUGCAGGCUCUGCAUCCUGGUCUCUGGCCUCCCUUUCCUCGAGGAACGAGCUUUGCCUCCCGCACCGAGAGAUGUCUUGCUGCAGACCCUGUCCCCCACGGCCCUGCGGCCCCUGUGGCCCAACCCCCCUUGCCAGCAGCUGCACUGAGCCCUGCCUCGCCCGCUGCGCUGACUCCACGGUGUACAUCGAGGCUUCGCCAGUGGUGGUGACCCUGCCGGGCCCCAUCCUCACCUCCUUCCCUCAGAACACUGCUGUGGGAUCCUCUCUGUCAGCUGCUGUGGGCAGCUCCCUCAGCACCGCGGGGGUUCCCAUCUCCUCUGGGGGCUCAGGCCUGUGUCUGCCCUUCUCCCGCUGCGGUCAGAUCUGCUGAGGCCGGCGCAUCAUCCCCGUUGUCCUAGGCAAAUGGGCCCAUCUCUCGCCCUCCCUGGCCCCCACACGCGUUCCUUGGUCUCUGUUCUCUGUUGCCGCUUUUGCUCCUUCUCAUUAAAGCCUUUGUGCAGCA
Serinus canaria (Common canary) is the source of this 672-nucleotide long non-coding RNA. RefSeq lists it as uncharacterized. The transcript has 2 exons. Lineage: Eukaryota; Metazoa; Chordata; Aves; Passeriformes; Fringillidae. The record is from RefSeq and is a predicted model, not a curated record.